This 73-nucleotide transfer RNA is filed under the name Legionella israelensis. It matches the Rfam family "tRNA". Rfam says of the family: Transfer RNA (tRNA) molecules are approximately 80 nucleotides in length. Their secondary structure includes four short double-helical elements and three loops (D, anti-codon, and T loops). Lineage: Bacteria; Pseudomonadati; Pseudomonadota; Gammaproteobacteria; Legionellales; Legionellaceae. The record is from Rfam by way of RNAcentral.
GGGGCCGUAGCUCAGCUGGGAGAGCACCUGCCUUGCACGCAGGGGGUCAGGAGUUCGAUCCUCCUCGGCUCCA